AUUAAACGCUGGCGGCAUGCCUUACACAUGCAAGUCGAACGGUAGCGCGGGGCAACCUGGCGACGAGUGGCGAACGGGUGAGUAAAGCAUCGGAACGUGCCCUGGAAUGGGGGAUAACGUAGCGAAAGUUACGCUAAUACCGCAUAUUCUGUGAGCAGGAAAGCAGGGGAUCGCAAGACCUUGCGUUCUGGGAGCGGCCGAUGUCGGAUUAGCUAGUUGGUGGGGUAAAAGCCUACCAAGGCGACGAUCCGUAGCGGGUCUGAGAGGAUGAUCCGCCACACUGGGACUGAGACACGGCCCAGACUCCUACGGGAGGCAGCAGUGGGGAAUUUUGGACAAUGGGCGGAAGCCUGAUCCAGCCAUGCCGCGUGAGUGAAGAAGGCCUC
This 386-nucleotide ribosomal RNA is filed under the name uncultured bacterium. RNAcentral's name for it is "bacterial SSU rRNA". It matches the Rfam family "Bacterial small subunit ribosomal RNA", at positions 29 to 418 of the family's 1533-position model. The record is from RNAcentral.